GAGAUUGGAAUUCCUGGUGUAGCGGUAGAAUGCGCAGAUAUCAGGAGGAACACCGAUGGCGAAGGCAGAUCUCUGGGCCGUAACUGACGCUGAGGAGCGAAAGGGUGGGGAGCAAACAGGCUUAGAUACCCUGGUAGUCCACCCCGUAAACGUUGGGAACUAGUUGUGGGGUCCAUUCCACGGAUUCCGUGACGCAGCUAACGCAUUAAGUUCCCCGCCUGGGGAGUACGGCCGCAAGGCUAAAACUCAAAGGAAUUGACGGGGACCCGCACAAGCGGCGGAGCAUGCGGAUUAACUCGAUGCAACGCGAAGAACCUUACCAAGGCUUGACAUAUACGAGAACGGGCCAGAAAUGGUCAACUCUUUGGACACUCGUAAACAGGUGGUGCAUGGUUGUCGUCAGCUCGUGUCGUGAGAUGUUGGGUUAAGUCCCGCAACGAGCGCAACCCUCGUUCUAUGUUGCCAGCACGUAAUGGUGGGAACUAAUGGGAUACUGCCGGGGUCAACUCGGAGGAAGGUGGGGAUGACGUCAAAUCAUCAUGCCCCUUAUGUCUUGGGCUUCACGCAUGCUACAAUGGCCGGUACAAAGGGCUGCAAUACCGUGAGGUGGAGCGAAUCCCAAAAAGCCGGUCCCAGUUCGGAUUGAGGUCUGCAACUCGACCUCAUGAAGUCGGAGUCGCUAGU
RNAcentral lists this ribosomal RNA (684 nucleotides) under uncultured bacterium. Its description in RNAcentral is "bacterial SSU rRNA". It matches the Rfam family "Bacterial small subunit ribosomal RNA", at positions 657 to 1339 of the family's 1533-position model. The record is from RNAcentral.